ACUGGGAGGACCAUCUUCCAAGGCUAAGUACUACUGAUCGACCGAUAGUGAACUAGUACCGCGAGGGAAAGGUAGAAAAGAACCCCGGUUAGGGGAGUGAAAUAGUACCUGAAACCGUGUGCCUACAAGCAGUGGGAGCGCUAUGCCCGUAAGGGAAGGCGUCACCACGUACCUUUUGCAUAAUGGGCCUGCGAGUUACCGUGUGUGGCAAGGUUAAGCCGGAAGGUGUAGCCGAAGCGAAAGCGAGUCCUAACAGGGCGUCAAGUCGCGCGCGGUAGACCCGAAACCUUAGCGAUCUAUCCAUGUCCAGGUUGAAGAGCGGGUAACACCGCUUGGAGGACCGAACUCACCACAGUUGAAAAUGUGGGGGAUGAGGUGUGGAUAGGAGUGAAAAGGCUAAUCAAGCUGGGAUAUAGCUGGUUCUCCCCGAAAUAUAUUGAGGUAUAGCCUCGGACGAAUUGCGGCGGAGGUAGAGCACUGAAUGGGCUAGGGGGUCCUACCAGAUUACCAAACCCAAUCAAACUCCGAAUGCCGCUGACAAGUAUCCGGGAG
This 552-nucleotide ribosomal RNA is filed under the name uncultured bacterium. Its description in RNAcentral is "bacterial LSU rRNA". It matches the Rfam family "Bacterial large subunit ribosomal RNA", at positions 443 to 983 of the family's 2925-position model. The record is from RNAcentral.